UCUGCUCAGUAUAGUCGAGAAGCUGAAAGAUACACCAACAUGCGGUUUCUGUUGACCAUUGUUCUUUUGGUGGCUGUAGUCAUGGUUGCUGUCGACGCGCACAGUCGAGCUCGCCAUCGUCGUUACAGUCGAAACCAUAGAAUCGUGCGGAAACCAUCAGCCGUAUUCGAGAACAAGAAACUAAACCUGAAGAAAAUACACUGCCAUAGUGUAAAGAGGUCGGGUCUCUGUGAGAGAUGCUGUGAGAAAACCCAUGGUCAUUACGAGAGAAGCUUACCGGGAUUCCAACAUAAGAGCAAAUAUCUGAAGAACUUAAAAUGUAGUAGGGUAAAGAGAUCAGGCCUUUGUGAUAGAUGCUGUGAUCCGUGUUAUAAAGUACAGUGUAAUGCACCUCUAAUGUGUGCAGGGGGUGUCUGUAAAUGCAACGGUGACGUCUGUAAAGAGGAUCAAACCUGCAGUAAAACCAGUCAUGGUAUCUAUUGUGUCGAUAAUCAAGCUGCAACUAAACUACCAACAACCGACGUCACUUACCCAACUAAUCCACCGACUUCCCCAACUUCACGACCAACUUGUCGAAGUAUACCAUAUAAAAUCGUUUUCCAUCCAUGUUCAGGGUAUUUACAACACCACAGAAAAACACAAACAAGCUAAUUAACUCAAGAAAAUCAACACAAAGCUGACUGACACAUAGAAUAUGAACUAAAUUAAAGAUACAUCAAUUAAGAGCUAAAUCUGCCUAUUUGCAAGUCUUUCUUUUGACUUCAUAUGGUAUAGAAAUUAUUAAUUAGACCUUUAUUUACACGACAAGCUUAAAAUCAACCAUGUAGGCCCUCGGAUGGCCUGGAUACAGCUUGGAUUUAAACAGUCGCCCAUUUAAUAAUUAAAUCAAUAAAUAGCCGACCAAGCUAAUGUUUACCGUUAGUUCUGCCGACGAAAGGCCUGUUAAUCGAGGGUACAGUAGCCAUCGAGAAUGUUACUUGAUAAUCGAGAAUAUGUGGAUGGAUUUAUCGUCCAAACAGUGACAACUCCGUUCAGAAUAAAUUAUUUGACUGAAAUUUUCAAUAUUUAUUUUUUUUUUUUUAUCAUCUAUUUUUGAAUUAUUAUAGCAAGAAUGACCAAGUCUUUAUAAAAUUCUUAACUAAUGUAUGUUUAAGAAGACCGGCCAAAUUUCAAGGAUAAUGUAUGUAUUCGAACAAGGAACAGAAAACAAAUUUCUUUGUCUUGUUAUUGUAAAACGAGGAAUUGUCGCCCGUAUGGUAUUUAAUCCUAAACAUACCAAGAACCCCAGUUUGCAUUAAUUUCUAGCUACACCAGGUUUAACAAUUUCAAAUUUCAUCUAAAUAGUUUCCAUUAUUUCCAGUGCCGGAUUAACCAUGGUUGGGGCCUGAGGGCUUCAGCAUGUGGGGGCCACCAACUAACACAAGUGACCAGAACUUCGGCAGUAUUAUUCCACAUAGAUAAAUGUAGCUACAUGAAACCUACUUUGAAAUCGGUGUCUGAUAAAUAAUGGGGAGACCUUGAUACGGAGAGUCAUAUCCGAGAUGGCGGUAAAGUUACCACAUAGUAACCGGAUUAUCAAAUAAUUAUAAUUUAGGGGUCAAACGUCGAAGAAUACGAGUCCAGAAACUAAAAUCCCUCGAUUCACAAAAAGAAAAAAUUAAGUUCGAGAAUUACCAAUGACAUUUUUGACAGAUUCUGGGUUCAACCUUCUAGAAACCAAGUUGUAACCAACUUUUUGCCGCUAAAGAUGAUUUUAAUACGUUUUCUUAAUAAACGUUUCCUGCUAAAUAAACAAAAAAAGAAACACGGACCAGUCGAAAGUAUUGCGCUGCACAACGGAUUACACCAAAUUCUCGGAUGUUUACCGCAACACGUGCCGACCAUGGAUUGAAGGGUGCCUCAACGGAGUUCUCGAUCCGACCAUGCUCAUGUGGCUUUUUGUGCAACUGAGAUUUUUGUGCGGUCCCCUGAUGCUCCGUGGUUAACCCGGUGUUGUUUUACGCAGUUUGAUCACAAUAUUCACAAAUUAAAUGCCGCAAAUAUUGUCUUUUAAAGAUACAUUAUGGGAGAUUAGAUAAACAGCUGGCAGUUCGUACUAUAAUAGUUAAAAACUAGAUAAUGUAAAGGGAAUUUGCUGAAAAUUUCGGUCAAAUUGAUCCACCCUGAACCACGUAUCACCUUGAAACUUUACAAACUUAUUCCUUCUAUCCUAAGGAACACCCCUAUUGUUUGUGGUAAAUGCCCAACCCCCAUGGGAAGAGCCACGCCCAUUUUCCUUUUGUAUGUCUGUGUGUCACUUACAGCCCGCAAUGCUUAAUCUUUUUUAUACUUCUACCUUAUACCCUAAGGCUGACCUCUAUUAUUUUUGGUGCAUGUCCGACCCCCUGGGACAGAGUCACGCCCAAUGUUUGUAUGUCUUGUGUUUCGCCUACAGGCCGCAAUUCUUAACAGAUCCCUUUGAAACUUUGCAUACCUACUCCUUAUACCCUAAGGAUGACCCCUAUUGAUUUUUGGUGAUUGCCCACCCCCCAGGAGCAGAGCCACGCCCAUUUUCUUUGUGUCUCUGUGUGUUGCCUACAGGCCACGAUGAUUAAUGGAUCGUCUUUGAACUUGGGGUAUGUAUUCCUUAUAGCCUAAGGAAGACAACUGCAUGUCCCGACCCCCAGGGGCAGAGCCACGCCCAAUUUUUGCCUUUAGCGCCCGAAGGUCACAAUUAUGAAUGGAUUAUCUUGGAACUUGGUAUACUUAUUCCUUAUACCCUAAAGACGGCAACUAUUGCUGUUGGUGCACGACCCACUCCUCCACCCCACCCCCACCACCACCUGCAUUUUUGGUGAGGCCACACCCACUUUUUGUUGAUAUUUUGGCUGUAGAUGAUAUACAGGUUGCAAAUAUUAACAGAUUUGGAUCCAAUUCGGAAUGAUCCAGCAUCCGGGUUGUACCUAUAUAUAUAUUUGUCUAUGUCCAACCCCCAGGGACAGAGCCACGCCCAAUUUUUGUGGGUUUUUUUGUCUACAGGCUGGAAUUCUAAAUAGAUCAUCUUGGAACUUGGCAUAUUUAUUCUUUAUACUGUAUGGAUAGCAAUUAUUUAUUUUGGUGCAUGUCCAGACCCCCAGGGUUGUGGUACCAGACCACUUUUUUGUUAGUUUUUAUCGGUAAAUACUCUACAGGUUCCAAUAAUUAACAGAUUUUGUUCAAAUUCAGCAUAUCAAUCAUUUCAAUAACAGGGUGGUACCUAUUUAUAUUGUUCCAUAUCCAACCCCCAGGGGCAGACCCACGCCAUUUUUUGUAUGUAUCGUCUACAGACUGAAAUUCUGAAUGGAUCAUCUUGGAACUUUGCAUAUUUAUUCCUUAUACUGUAAAGACAGCAACUAUUUGUUUUGAUGCAUGCCCCGACCCUCUGGGGCAGUGUCACGCACCCUUUUUUGUUAAUAUUUUGUCUGUAAAUUUGGCAAAACAAACCCAACCCCUAGCCUUCUUUGCCUCUUGUCAUAUUAUAGCCAUUUCAUAUUUCAUUCUCUUCAUUUUAAAAAGUACCAUAUCAAUCAAAGCAGGAAUGUGGACGUAUAUUGCAGCGUUAGCGAUGCUCUUGUUUGAUUUAAUCAGAAGUAGCAGACCGCUUCUAAUCCAGUAAAUAUCGCAGGCUAGCGAUGUCAUCGAGAGUUAAUUAUGGUCUGGAUAAGUUACUUAAUGUCUAAUUAAUAAUUUAUAUAACAUUUCAGGCCUAAAGAAAGACCUACAAUUGGCAGAUUUAGCUCUUGUUUAAAGGGACAAUGACACUCUUGCUGGCUUGACAGCUCCAGUAAAUAAAUAUUAGCCUUAUUUUAAGUAUUAGAUGUUUAAGUGUCCUACCUAUUGUGUAAAUUAUCCAUUACAUCCUAUUUUUAAAUCCAAGUUACAUUUGAAAAGGUUUAUGUUAGGCUUUUCAAAUCAUUUAGUUGAAGUUUUCCAAUUUUUUAAAUUGUGUGUUUUAAGAUGAAAUUUGUAUCAUCAAUUAAUUGGAAUAUUGUAAAAUAGUACAAUUUGUUGACCAGAAUAAAGAUUGGGACAUAUUAUUCUGUUACAACAAGAGUGGUAUUGAGCCUUUAAUGUAUGUUUAAAAAAUCCAAACCAUUUAUAAUAAGCGCCUGUUUUAUGGAAUAAAAUAUUUCCCGUCUUCAUUAGCCCAGUCGGAGCAGAACAGUUAAACCCCAUUUCAUUUCAUUUUAUGGAAUGGUCUACCAUUUGGUUUAAGAUGUUAUACAUCUCUAUACUCUUUUAAAAAAACAACUUAAAACACUUUUUUAAACAGGAUUUUAACCGACUCUUGUUGUUUUUUUUGUUUGGUUUUUUAUUGUCACUUUGUAAAGUGCCUCUGAGCAUCUUGUGUGAAAGGGCGCACUAUAAAUAUGCUGUAAUAAUAAUAAUAUUAACAAUAAUAAUAACAACAAGGACUGUUGAUAAAAUUUCGA
Long non-coding RNA from Patella vulgata (common limpet), 4451 nucleotides. RefSeq lists it as uncharacterized. The transcript has 3 exons. The record is from RefSeq and is a predicted model, not a curated record. Lineage: Eukaryota; Metazoa; Mollusca; Gastropoda; Patellidae.